Molecule: ribosomal RNA, 279 nt
Filed under: uncultured bacterium
Lineage: Bacteria
Description: partial 16S ribosomal RNA
Rfam family: Bacterial small subunit ribosomal RNA
Source: RNAcentral
UCUAUCCUACGGGGCGCAGCAGUGGGGAAUAUUGCACAAUGGGGGAAACCCUGAUGCAGCGCCGCCGCGUGAGCGAUGAAGUAUUUCGGUAUGUAAAGCUCUAUCAGCAGGGAAGAAAAUGACGGUACCUGACUAAGAAGCCCCGGCUAACUACGUGCCAGCAGCCGCGGUAAUACGUAGGGGGCAAGCGUUAUCCGGAUUUACUGGGUGUAAAGGGAGCGUAGACGGCAAUGCACGCCAGAUGUGAAAGCCCGGGGCUCAACCCCGGGACUGCAUUUG